Molecule: long non-coding RNA, 2191 nt
Organism: Columba livia (rock pigeon)
Lineage: Eukaryota; Metazoa; Chordata; Aves; Columbiformes; Columbidae
Exons: 3
Source: RefSeq, a predicted model, not a curated record
GAGCAAUCUAGGUGUGGCACCAGUCUGAUAUUUUUUCAGCUUGGACUUCUCUGGCCUUACCUUCUAUAUUUGGGGCUGAAUAUGCAAGUGAAUUGUGAGCAGUGUCUGGGAGACUGCAAUAAUCCAUUCAGUUUGGAACAGGCUCUGCUUCUGAAAAGAUACAGAGUGAAACUUCUCAAGAAACUGAGCAGAGAAAAGCUUCGGCUCAGUAACAAAUGGAGGAGCUCUUUGAGGAGGAGUGAGUCAUGCCUCGCCACCCCAGAGCGGGCAGUGCGCAUUCCCACAAGCUCUUUGGAAACCCACAGCUGGAAACUUCCAAGAAGACACCUGCUCCGUGUUCAGUGCUCACAGCAGGGACUCAGAAGAGGCUUUAAAAUGUACUUUCAACUGAAAGACUAUACUCCUUCUCUCACCUCACACUUGUCAAGUCAUGUCAUUGCCAGGACCUACUGCCUGUCUCAGCUAUGUGGACGUAUGUAAUGCUCUUUUCCUCCCCUCCUUGCACUGUAUAUCUCCUGGUCAUAAGCAUGCAGGAACCUGUUUGCAUUCACCUAUAUUUUGUACCAUCUGGUGGCUUCAUGAAAGGCCUGUAAGGUGUUGCAAAGUAAAUCUCAGUAGCAUGAUUCUUCUUGUGGCAACCUGUGUGGAGGUGGAUAGAAACGCUCCACACCUUCCUGCUCUAGAACAGAUAGGUAUGCUCUUUUCAGUUUUGUAACUCAAUGAACCUUUGACCUUCUGGGCUUAUUUAACUAUUGUGAAGGCUGAAGACGCUGAGGAUCCCUUUUGGCUCUUUGCUUAACCUCAAGAUGGGUUGAGAGAGAAAAAUCUAAACCUCAGAUUUUUCAGAAGUUUAUAAGCAUUUUAAUUGGUGAAGCUGAUUUUUUCAUCUAUGAAACUUGGGCUUCAAAUCCAUGAUAGACCUGAAACUUUCUAUUGGGUGGAAUGAUUUAACAUAGAGAGUUAAUUUGAAUUUUUAUUUAGCAUAAUUUCCUUCUCCUCUCUGCCCUUUGCCCCCAGUUCCUGGCUUACUGAUUUCUGCAUUUUCCCCCCUUAUUAUCUAGUUCUAGGAAAGCAUAACCUCUCUCUUCCUCAAUCCUAAACAAAGUAUAUUUUCACACACUUUCACAGCUAUGCGUGUAUCUUCCUCAGUUAUUGUGUCUCUUAUCUGAGCAUAACUGUUUCCAGAUCUUAAAAAACUGUUCUGCACCUUGUAUCUCAGUGGAGAUACGUUCUGCAGGAUCAGGGAGUCUCGGUCUUUCUAGUUAAGAGUAAUUGUUCUGGUUAUUUCCAAGAGCACAAAUCUUGCCUUUGUAGUUUCUCUGAUUUGGGCCAAAGAAAUAAAAAUCGAGACUACAGAUAGACUUCCCCACUUUCAGGUCUCAGGAUGGUUAAGAACAUUACAGACAAAAAAAACAGCUUGGACAGAUUUGGACCCUGCUGCCAGCCUACCCGGGGCUGGAAGCUGCAGCCUGGGACAAUGCUUCAUAUUCUCUCCUUCUCCAGAGUUGUCUGAAGUGUGGAUCUGGACUUGAACUUCUGACAUUUGACGGGUGUUUAAUCUCUUAUAGCUCCUUUUUCCAAACCCUUGAGUAGUUGCCCUUUCCUAGAACACACGCUGAGCACAAGAAACACCCUUCUUAAAAAACACAAACACUCAGAAGAGGAACACAGAGAACUGAAAGAGCUUCACCAAGAGGUUUUGUUUCUCUAUAAACUCCACAUACGAAACCCUGGCCUCUGCACUGCCUCAGCAUUUGCUGUAUUUAUUUCUUUUCCUCCUCUGCAGAUUGGGAGCAUUUUCUGCCAAACAGAGAAAGGCUUUGUGAGAUGAGGAACAGCUCAGGUUUUUGCAGCUUAUAUAGUAUGCGUUGCCUCCUUCUGAGAGCUGAAGGUUAACUUCUGUCCCUGCUGCUUCCCUUUCCCCCAAAAAACAGCUCCAUUCAGUAAUACCCCUCUUCUUACCCUCACUCUUUAGGAAAAAGGCUCAUAGUAGCUCCUGGCAGAACAGGGCAGAGAUCCCGCCGCUAGCUUUUCUUGAAAGGAGGACAGAGGAAAAAAGCAGCGCUGAGUUUUCAAGAGAAAUUGGCUGCCAAAGCUGAGGAGCAAACAGAUAUUUCCCCCCUAAACCGGUGAUCUUCCCUCCCACUUCUCCCUCCCAUGGGUAUUUCCCCAUGAUGAACUCACUUGGAGA